This 28-nucleotide small RNA is filed under the name Bombyx mori (domestic silkworm). RNAcentral describes it as "ovarian small RNA-28873". Lineage: Eukaryota; Metazoa; Arthropoda; Insecta; Lepidoptera; Bombycidae. The record is from RNAcentral.
UCGCUUCCAGGGUUCAUGCCUUGCUGCC